Small nuclear RNA from Phodopus roborovskii (desert hamster), 108 nucleotides. The record is from RefSeq and is a predicted model, not a curated record. NCBI's taxonomy places the organism in Eukaryota, Metazoa, Chordata, Mammalia, Rodentia, Cricetidae.
GUGUUCACUUGGGCAGCACAUAAACUAACACUGGAAUGAGAUAGAGAAGAUUAGCACGGCCCCUUCACAAAAAGGACAACACAAAUGUGUGAGUUGUUCCACAUUGGA